RNAcentral lists this transfer RNA (72 nucleotides) under Loxodonta africana (African savanna elephant). It matches the Rfam family "tRNA". From Rfam's summary of the family: Transfer RNA (tRNA) molecules are approximately 80 nucleotides in length. Their secondary structure includes four short double-helical elements and three loops (D, anti-codon, and T loops). The record is from Rfam by way of RNAcentral. Lineage: Eukaryota; Metazoa; Chordata; Mammalia; Proboscidea; Elephantidae.
GCAGUGGUGGUUCAGUGGUAGACUUCUCGCCCUUCCGUGCGGGAGACCCGGGUUCAAUUUCCAGCCAAUGCA